GCGAGUGUAGCACAUCGGUAGUGCACGACCUUCCCAAGGUUGUGAGGGCGGUUCGACUCCGCUCACUCGCU
Molecule: transfer RNA, 71 nt
Filed under: Bacteroidales bacterium
Lineage: Bacteria; Pseudomonadati; Bacteroidota; Bacteroidia; Bacteroidales
Also listed under: 2 other names
Description: tRNA-Gly
Rfam family: tRNA
About the family: Transfer RNA (tRNA) molecules are approximately 80 nucleotides in length. Their secondary structure includes four short double-helical elements and three loops (D, anti-codon, and T loops).
Source: RNAcentral